This is a long non-coding RNA of Tetranychus urticae (two-spotted spider mite), 1396 nucleotides long. RefSeq lists it as uncharacterized. NCBI's taxonomy places the organism in Eukaryota, Metazoa, Arthropoda, Arachnida, Trombidiformes, Tetranychidae. The record is from RefSeq and is a predicted model, not a curated record.
AGGUUCAUUUUUUUUAUUCUUCAUUUGAAUGGACAUUCUCCUGUAAUCUCUUUUAUGCUCUUACACUUUCCUUCAUCAUCUCAUCAUCUUCCUCUCUUGUAAUGGCGAUAGUUUAUAUGAAAUGUAUAAUUGUAAAGAAAUGUUUCAAAAUGUAAUAACAUGGAAUGAAAUGGUGAAUUACUGAAGUAGAGUGAAAAAAUGUUGCUCUGAAAAGGAAUGAAAAGGAAGGAGAAAAUGAUAGUAAUGAUGAAAAGGAGGUUCGAAGGGUUUUCAUAACAAAAAGUAAUACAAUUUGUUAAAUAAUAACGGUAAUCGAUAAAAUGGUGAGUCCAGAAAAGAUGAUUUUGUGAAAAUUGGAAAUAAGAAUUGGUUGUUGACAAGUUGAUCAGAAUAACAAGAAUCAUCUGUUAACAUUGUUCACAUUUCUUGUUAUUAUUAUCAUCGCAAGAAUCAGGUUAUUGAAGGUUACUUGUGUGGUCAACAAAUUAUACUCAUCAUCGUCACACAACACUGAGAAUCAAGCUUUUGACCGUCAACAAAUUAUACCUUUUAAUGUCCUUUAAUCAUCAAGUCUAUCACUUAACUUGCAAUUAAAGUGAUUCACAUUUUUAAAUCAAACCGUUUAUCAGCUAUAAAUGCCGUCAAACUUUGUCCCAAUAUUUUCAGUUGUUGCACAGUUUAAUUCAUUCGAAGUCAUUUCAUGGUAAGCCUUAAAUUUGAAAAUGAUUCAAUGUAAGGUCAGAUUUUAUUUACUUUUCCUAUUAUCGAAUCUCGCGCUUUUAUCAAUUCGGCUUACGCAGCUAAGCUGUUUAGCUUAAUUCCUUGGCUGAUCCGCAAUUUCCCUCUAAUAGUCAAACAUGUGUUUUCCUCUAAAUAUGUAUUUGUAACAAAAUUUUUGUCAAUAAUUUUUGUUUCUUUUGUAAAUUGUAUUUUCAACAUUGCAUUGAGCUUAGUGAUUAAAUUUUCUAUGACUUAUGUGCUGUCAAAUUUAAUUUAAUAAUGUUAACAGAGUUUAAUGUUUGCCUUCAAUUAACCUACACUUGGUUAUGACUCGUUUCCCUGUCGUUGGCCUUUGAUUGGCCUCAUCAAAAUGUUCCCAACUGCAAGAUGUUAUUGAUUUUAUUGAAGAACUGUCAGAUAAUUAUAUUUCCAGAAGCUGCUGCAAAAUGGUAGUUACCUUGAAAAGAAUGGUAAUAAUUUUUCAUCUUCUUACCUUGGCUAAUUGUUAUUUAUCCAGCUUUUAUGACUGCUUGUAUUAUCUUGGUUUGGAAAUGAGAUUAUUAAUAAUUUCUGUGCAGAUCACCGAAUCAAAUCGAGAAAGAGGGUCAACAUGAUAUAUUCAAUACCACCAUAAUCACUGCUAUCUAACAUUAAACCUUGAUUGUUCUCGUCGCAA